RNAcentral lists this long non-coding RNA (981 nucleotides) under Gossypium barbadense (sea-island cotton). RNAcentral describes it as "long non-coding RNA (GBAR_LNC010469)". The record is from RNAcentral. Lineage: Eukaryota; Viridiplantae; Streptophyta; Magnoliopsida; Malvales; Malvaceae.
CUAAAUUUAGAUCCUAUUCGGAUCACCCGUCCGAGCUAAAUCCGUCAAAGCACACAUUCUUCAAGAUGCUAGAUCACUAUAGGAUCACCCAUCCGGGCUAGAUCCUUUAUACCAUUAUUUCAUUUUCGAGUAAUCCAUCAGACAGCCUUUUUUAUUCAACCGGGACAUUUCAUCAUAACAUUAAUAAUUCAUGAGUUGUCAUACAAUAAAUAUUACUAUUAUAAUUCAUACAUGUACAUACAUCUUUAAUGUAUUUAAAAAUAGUUUACAUUCGAGUUACACAAACUUACUUGGUAAUUGCUUAGGUUUCGUAUUACAGUUAUUCCGAAACCUUUCGUUUUCCACGAUCGAUCUUCGAAAUCGGUUCCUCAGGGUCUAUAUCAGUAAAAAUAAAUUAUUAAUACCUCAUGCUAUUUAUUUUGAACCUAAAAUUCACCCUAGGCAAAAUGACUAUUUUGCCCCUAACAUUUAAAAAUUUUACAACUUAGUCAUUUUGCAUACAUGAACCCUAACUUAAAAUAUGGGUAGAAAUGAAGAAAACAUGUUUUAAAGAUCUCAAAAAUACAAAGAACAUUAAAAACGGGGCUAGAAGUCACUUAACUAUUGAGCUUGGAAAGUGAAGAAACCCUAGCUAUGGUGUCCCUUGGAGAGAAGAAUGGCUGAUUUUUUCCUUCAUUUCCCCUUUUUAUUGAUUUUAUUAUCAAAUGACCAAAAUGUCCUUCCUUACUAAACUUCCAAAAUUUUUCAUGCAUGCCCUUUUUUUUUUCCAAAAAUUUAGAAAUUGAGUAAAUUACUCUUUAUGACCUUCUAAUUAAUAAUCUAAAGCAAUUUCAUGGAAAUUGCUUUUAAAAUCCAAGUUUUGCAAUUUAUUCAAUUUGGUCCCUAAUUUUCAAUUGGACACCUUACACUAAGAAUUUCUUCAUGAAACUUUAACACAUGCUUACUUUCAUAUUCUGGGCCUCAUAAUAAUUAUAAAAUAAA